Molecule: ribosomal RNA, 498 nt
Filed under: uncultured bacterium
Lineage: Bacteria
Description: partial 16S ribosomal RNA
Rfam family: Bacterial small subunit ribosomal RNA
Source: RNAcentral
AUUGAACGCUGGCGGCAGGCCUAACACAUGCAAGUCGAGCGGUUGAGGUAGCUUGCUACCGAUACAGCGGCGGACGGGUGAGUAAUACAUGGGAAUCUGCCUGGUAGUGGGGGACAACGUUUCGAAAGGAACGCUAAUACCGCAUACGCCCUACGGGGGAAAGGGGGGGAUCUUCGGACCUCUCGCUAUCAGAUGAGCCCAUGUCAGAUUAGCUUGUUGGUGAGGUAAAGGCUCACCAAGGCGACGAUCUGUAACUGGUCUGAGAGGAUAAUCAGUCACACGGGAACUGAGACACGGUCCAGACUCCUACGGGAGGCAGCAGUGGGGAAUAUUGGACAAUGGGCGCAAGCCUGAUCCAGCCAUGCCGCGUGUGUGAAGAAGGCCUUAGGGUUGUAAAGCACUUUCAGUGGGGAGAAAGGCCUUUUACUUAAUACGUAAGAGGAUUGAUGUUACCCACAGAAGAAGCACCGGCUAACUCCGUGCCAGCCGCCGCAGUAA